RNAcentral lists this ribosomal RNA (206 nucleotides) under uncultured bacterium. RNAcentral describes it as "partial 16S ribosomal RNA". It matches the Rfam family "Bacterial small subunit ribosomal RNA", at positions 524 to 729 of the family's 1533-position model. The record is from RNAcentral.
UACGAAGGGGGCUAGCGUUGCUCGGAAUCACUGGGCGUAAAGCGCACGUAGGCGGAUCGUUAAGUCGGGGGUGAAAUCCUGGAGCUCAACUCCAGAACUGCCUUCGAUACUGGCGCUCUUGAGUCCGGAAGAGGUGAGUGGAACUCCUAGUGUAGAGGUGGAAUUCGUAGAUAUUAGGAAGAACACCAGUGGCGAAGGGCGGACUC